Long non-coding RNA from Elaeis guineensis (African oil palm), 664 nucleotides. RefSeq lists it as uncharacterized. Lineage: Eukaryota; Viridiplantae; Streptophyta; Magnoliopsida; Arecales; Arecaceae. The record is from RefSeq and is a predicted model, not a curated record.
GAGAAUCCCGCCAGCUCCCUAAACCCUAAUUCGCUCCUGGUACUCUUAAUUAGUGCCCUUUCCGUCGCAUUUUUUUUUCUUGGUCCUCCUCUGCGUUCAAAUUCUUCUUCCCUAAUCCAUGGCGAUGGCGACUACCGCCCUCUCGAAAUCGGAUCUCUCUACAAGGGCUUAGCUUCGGCUCUACUUGGGAUCAGGAAACCGAUCCCAACCUAACCCUAAUCCUUAUCCUACCCCUAACCAUCGAGUUUCAUAAACUCUAAACCUGUCUUAACUCCAAUGACGAUCAAUCGAGGAGAACGAACGAUAUUACUUUGAAAGUCUUCUAGUAUCAGAUAUGACGUCUUCAAUCUUCUAGGAGAGCUGGAGCUGUUACUGGACAUCAUGUUGCCAAUUGACUUGAUUCAGAUAUAGUCAUUGUGAAUGUUGUAUACUCAUCUUGAUGUGCUUAAUGUGUUCUCGUUUUCUAUUUAUCUAGAUAAGCCAACCGCCUCCCCAAAUACUCUGGUUACUGUAAAACCUGGCAACUACUGUCAAUUGAUUAUAAAAUGUGGACCUUUUUUGUCACAUUGGGUUUACAAGGGUGAAGACUUGGUUCUGAUUUUAGCAAUGGUCAACUUGAAUGAAUUUAGAUUUUCAUAAGUUCAUCCAUAGAAUAGUGGAACAU